ACUUGCUUAAUACAAGGAUCCAAAUUAGAAGAUGAAGUAUUAGCUUGGUUUAAAGCUAAGAAGUUAAGAGGGGUCCAUAAAUUGUUUCUACCAAUGUGUUUAUCAGCGCAUUGGGUUCUUUUUUGUGUCGAUACCAGAGAGAAGAAGAUUUCAUGGUUAGAUCCGAUACCAUCUUGUCGGAUAAUGUCUAAUAAUGUCGAAAAACAAAUAAUAUUACAGUGGUUCACAAACUAUCUACUGCCAGAGUUUGAUUAUAAUGAUGCAGAUGAAUGGCCAUUUGUAGUGCGUACUGAUAUCCCAAAGCAAGAAAAAGUAUUCGUGAUGAAAUAUGGUGAUUGUCUAACGCAUGGUGAUUUCUUCCCUUUUACACAAAAAGAUAUGAUUCAUCUCCGACGUCGUAUCUUUCUUGAUAUAUAUCGUGGAAAGCUGCAUGGUAAAAGAUAAACAAAUUUGCCACUUGUUUUGGAGCUGAAAUUCAAUGGAUGUAUUUUUUUUAAUGUCUUUUUAUUGUUAUUUUUGUUAAAUGUGACCCUUUUAUGGACAUAUAGUAUUUUCGUCAUUAAAUUUAUACUUAUUUUCCAUCGCAAUUGAAAUAA
Molecule: long non-coding RNA, 596 nt
Organism: Gossypium arboreum
Lineage: Eukaryota; Viridiplantae; Streptophyta; Magnoliopsida; Malvales; Malvaceae
Exons: 3
Source: RefSeq, a predicted model, not a curated record